GACGAACGCUGGCGGCGUGCCUAAUACAUGCAAGUCGAACGAGAGCGACCGGUGCUUGCACUGGUCAAUCUAGUGGCGCACGGGUGAGUAACACGUGGGUAACCUGCCCAUCAGAGGGGGAUAACAUCCGGAAACGGAUGCUAAAACCGCAUAGGUCUUCGAACCGCAUGGUUCGAAGAGGAAAAGCGGCCCAAGCUUCUGCUGAUGGAUGGACCCGCGGGGCAUUAGCUAGUUGGUGAGGUAACGGCUCACCAAGGCCGUGAUGCAUAGCCGACCUGAGAGGGUGAUCGGCCACAUUGGGACUGAGACACGGCCCAAACUCCUACGGGAGGCAGCAGUAGGGAAUCUUCCGCAAUGGACGCAAGUCUGACGGAGCAACGCCGCGUGAGUGAAGAAGGUGUUCGGAUCGUAAAACUCUGUUGUUAGAGAAGAACAAGUGCUAGAGUAACUGUUAGCGCCUUGACGGUAGCUAACCAGAAAGCCACGGCUAACUACGUG
This 498-nucleotide ribosomal RNA is filed under the name uncultured bacterium. Its description in RNAcentral is "partial 16S ribosomal RNA". It matches the Rfam family "Bacterial small subunit ribosomal RNA", at positions 28 to 507 of the family's 1533-position model. The record is from RNAcentral.